Molecule: long non-coding RNA, 985 nt
Organism: Aethalodelphis obliquidens (Pacific white-sided dolphin)
Lineage: Eukaryota; Metazoa; Chordata; Mammalia; Artiodactyla; Delphinidae
Exons: 4
Source: RefSeq, a predicted model, not a curated record
GAUUUCUUUUGAAGAUUAGCUUGACAACGUUAGAGAAUGUGCUUAUUCCUGUACUCUUCCGUAAAUCAAUAAACCAGAUUCAUAGACUUCCUAUUAAGAAACUUGAGCAAUGGAUGUGAGUUCUCAUUGCUUCACAUCUUCACCAGCAUUUGGUGUCAUCAGUGUUUCAGAUUUGGGCCGUUCUAAUAGCAGCAACCAGGAGAAGAAAAGAAUGAGAAAAAGAAUCCAAUUCCUAUUUCAUAUUCCAUAAUCAGGACAAGAAUAAGAAGAUGGAAACACUUAAGGCAGAGGAUUGAAGUGACCCCUUUUCUACAAUAAUAGAAGGCUGGAGCCUCACCUUCAAGGGACCAUCUUUAUCUGCCACCAGAUUAUACAGCACAGUCUGAGGAAGAAGAUCCUGGCAAGUAUCUAGCAAUUCUAUAUUCAUUAUCCUCCCACUCUAGCCCAUGCUUAGGAGUGAGUGGAGCAAGGAAGGUUACAUAACGAGGGAAGGCCUAGGAAAUCCUUUUCCCUUCUCCAAAUGGUCACUUGCUGGAGAUUACUGAAAUUCUACUUUUGGAGUUUUAUUUCUUUGGGUUGAAACAGUGAAUUUGAUUCGUGCAAAUGGCCCUGGAAGCUUUACCAUGUCCUUUGUUUUAAGAAAUCACUGUAAAUUUCUUUAUUAGAUCCUUUUUAUCCAGAUAGUUGGAAGAAAGUGUCUGGAUGGUCACCAAGCAGUUGAGCGUAGGAAUGGGAGAUGUAGGACAUUGGAUGUCCUGGGGAUUGGAGUUACGUCAGGGAGACUUGAGAGAUGAAGGAGGAUACUCUAGGUACUUCCUCUGUUUCAUGGUUUUGUCUCUGUUAACUUUAUUGCUGGGUUUUUCUCAGAAUCUUUAUGAAACCAGUACCCAAUUGUACAUGCCAAGUUGGAUACUAAACAUACAAUUUAGAUGGAUGAGUCCUGUGCCCUUUGAUGGCUUAUAACAAAACCAAACAACUGACCAGA